AGGAAUAUAAAAUAGAGGCAUAGAUAGGGUAAACAGUCAGAACUAUUUUCCCAGGGUGGAAAUGUCAAAGACUACUGAGUAUAGCUUUAAGGCGAGGGGCAAGUUUGUUUUUUACCAUAGAAUGUGGUGGGUGUCCCGAGUGCACUGCCAGGGGUGGUGAUGGUAGAGGAGGCAGAUACGAUAGUGACAUUUAAGAGGCUUUUAGGUAGGCACAUGGAUAUGCAGGGAAUGGAGGGAUAUGGAUCAUGGGGAGGCAGCGGAGAUUAUUUUAGCUUGGCAUCAUGUUCGGCUUGGACAUUAUGGGCCAAAGGGCCCGUUCCUGUGCUGUUCUAUGUAAGCCAGCCAAUACACGUUGCCUCUCCUAGGCAGAGCACCAGCGGCUUGCAUUGCCCAUAGAACCUCAAAUCUGCAUGAAUCAGCAACCUAUAGAAAAAUAAGAAAAGGCAAAGAAACUGCUGGCUAAAUAUUAGGGGCAGGCACAGGACAGAGCACAUCAAUUCAGCUCAAGAAGCGGUGCCUGCCAAUUCGCUAUUGGAAAGUUUUCUGCUUUGCUGUUGUUGGUAUGCUCAAGCUGCAGAAAAAUAAAUAAAUCUGCUCACUGCAGGCUCCAGACGGUCUACUGGAGUUUCCUGAAGUGAAGCGAGACAGAGAGGAAGUACCAUAAGAUCCAGUGUACACUCGCAACUUCAUGCUUAAAUCUACAAGCACAGCAUUAGCCACACUUUGCUGCCAGGAUUCUGAUUUUGGGUUUUCCAAGAUUGGAGAAGGACAAGGAAGACAAAAGCAUACAAGGAAAAAAAAGCUUUAUGAAGAUCAGGAUCUGCAGAUGAAGACCUGCCAAUAAAGGAAAAACAAGGAAAGAACAAAAGAAACAUGAAACAAACAAAAUCACUGACAACAACAAGAGUCAACGAUCAAAUGUUAACUAUGCACCGUAGGGACAAAUCACAGAAAGUUGACUGCAAGCAAUGGCAAAUCCAAAUGUUCUUGUUUGUGAAAGGUUUGUUUGGAAAGCGGAGGGAUGAAACAGGAGGGAUAAAAAGACAAAUAUGAAAUCCAAAAGCUUUUAACAGGCAAUUGGAAACCUAGAGCAGAGCAUAUGUAUCAAUUACUUAGACCCUGUUAUUAAUAGACGUGCAACAAAAAAAAUUGAGAAAGAAUUUACAAUUGUCAGGUGUGGCUCAGUGGUAGCAUUUUCACCUUGAAAUCAGAAAGGAUUGAUUUCAAGUCCCACUCUAUAGAUAUGACCAAAUGGGUCUAGGUUGGCACUCCAGCCAUGCCAAAGAGGUGCUACUGUUUCAUAGUGCAGUACUUUUUAUAUGACUUUAUACUGUUUAUAAUGGAUAUAAAUGAGGCAUGGCAAUGCAAGGCACAAAAAAAGAUACAAAGUGCUGGAGUAACUCAGCAGGUCAGUCGGCAUCUCUGGAGAACAUGAAUAGUUGACGUUUCAGGUUGGGACCCUUCUUCAGACGCAGACCCAACGUAAGGAAAAUUCAUUUAGUAAGUAUCACUCAGCCAACAGAAGUAAACAGGUCACUAUCAUGUUGCCAUUUGUGGGAGCCUGCUAUGCAUAUUUAAAGUCUUUCCCUAUAUUAAGGAAAGAACUUCAGAACUUUGUGUCUGAAGAAGGGUCUCGACUUGAAACAUCACCCAUUCCUUCUCUCCAGAGAUGCUCCCUGUCCCGCUGAGUUAUUUCAGCUUUGUGUGUCUAUCUUCAGAAUUUUGGGGUGGCAUAGUGGUAGAGUUGCUGCCUUACAGCGUGCUGGGAUGGAUCCUGAAUCUGGGUGCUGUCUGUAUGGAGUUUGUACAUUCUCCCUGUGACCGCAUUGGUUUUCUCUGGGUUCUCCGGUUUCAUCCCACACAUCAAAGACAUACAUGAUUGUAGAUUAAUUGGCUUCAGUAAUUGUAAAUUGGCCCGAGUGUGUAGAUAGUGCUAAUGUGCGGGGGUGAUUGCUGGUCAGCACCUGCUCGGUGGGCUGAUGGGCUUGGCUCCACACUGUAUCUCUAAAGUAAACUAUGUUGAUGACUGCAAUGCCUCUGGGACAUCCUGAGUACAUGAAUACAAAUCUUUAUCUUACAGGACUUAAUCUAAGAAAUCAUCAAAACAUGUUAAACCGAAGUAAGCAACACAUA
Leucoraja erinaceus (little skate) is the source of this 2133-nucleotide long non-coding RNA. RefSeq lists it as uncharacterized. The transcript is spliced from 4 exons. NCBI's taxonomy places the organism in Eukaryota, Metazoa, Chordata, Chondrichthyes, Rajiformes, Rajidae. The record is from RefSeq and is a predicted model, not a curated record.